RNAcentral lists this ribosomal RNA (230 nucleotides) under uncultured bacterium. RNAcentral describes it as "partial 16S ribosomal RNA". It matches the Rfam family "Bacterial small subunit ribosomal RNA", at positions 562 to 791 of the family's 1533-position model. The record is from RNAcentral.
AAAGCGUGCGCAGGCGGUUAUAUAAGACAGAUGUGAAAUCCCCGGGCUCAACCUGGGAACUGCAUUUGUGACUGUAUAGCUAGAGUGUGUCAGAGGGGGGUAGAAUUCCACGUGUAGCAGUGAAAUGCGUAGAUAUGUGGAGGAAUACCAAUGGCGAAGGCAGCCCCCUGGGAUAACACUGACGCUCAUGCACGAAAGCGUGGGGAGCAAACAGGAUUAGAUACCCUAGU